RNAcentral lists this ribosomal RNA (221 nucleotides) under uncultured bacterium. Its description in RNAcentral is "partial 16S ribosomal RNA". It matches the Rfam family "Bacterial small subunit ribosomal RNA", at positions 112 to 334 of the family's 1533-position model. The record is from RNAcentral.
CGGACGUGGGUAACCUGCCUCAUACAGGGGGAUAGCAGCUGGAAACGGCUGAUAAAACCGCAUAAGCGCACAGCAUCGCAUGAUGCAGUGUGAAAAACUCCGGUGGUAUGAGAUGGACCCGCGUCUGAUUAGCUGGUUGGUGAGGUAACGGCCCACCAAGGCGACGAUCAGUAGCCGGCCUGAGAGGGUGACCGGCACAUUGGGACUGAGACACGGCCCAA